AUAGUAGCUUGCUACUUUUGCCGGCGAGCGGCGGACGGGUGAGAUAAUGCCUGGGGAUCUGCCCAGNUCGAGGGGGAUAACANAUUGGAAACGACUGCUAAUACCGCAUACGCCCUACGGGGGAAAGGAGGGGACCUUCGGGCCUUUCGCGAUUGGAUGAACCCAGGUGGGAUUAGCUAGUUGGUGGGGUAAUGGCUCACCAAGGCGACGAUCCCUAGCUGGUCUGANAGGAUGAUCAGCCACACUGGAACUGAGACACGGUCCAGACUCCUACGGGAGGCAGCAGUGGGGAAUAUUGCACAAUGGGGGAAACCCUGAUGCAGCCAUGCCGCGUGUGUGAAGAAGGCCUUCGGGUUGUAAAGCACUUUCAGCGAGGAGGAAAGGUUGGCGCCUAAUACGUGUCAACUGUGACGUUACUCGCAGAAGAAGCACCGGCUAACUCCGUGCCAGCAGCCGCGGUAAUACGGAGGGUGCAAGCGUUAAUCGGAAUUACUGGGCGUAAAGCGCACGCAGGCGGUUGGAUAAGUUAGAUGUGAAAGCCCCGGGCUCAACCUGGGAAUUGCAUUUAAAACUGUCCAGCUAGAGUCUUGUAGAGGGGGGUAGAAUUCCAGGUGUAGCGGUGAAAUGCGUANAGAUCUGGAGGAAUACCGGUGGCGAAGGCGGCCCCCUGGACAAAGACUGACGCUCAGGUGCGAAAGCGUGGGGAGCAAACAGGAUUANAUACCCUGGUANUCCACGCCGUAAACGAUGUCGAUUUGGAGGCUGUGUCCUUGAAACGUGGCUUCCGGAGCUANCGCGUUAAUCGACGCCUGGGGAGUACGGC
RNAcentral lists this ribosomal RNA (823 nucleotides) under Aeromonas salmonicida. RNAcentral's name for it is "bacterial SSU rRNA". It matches the Rfam family "Bacterial small subunit ribosomal RNA", at positions 72 to 886 of the family's 1533-position model. Lineage: Bacteria; Pseudomonadati; Pseudomonadota; Gammaproteobacteria; Aeromonadales; Aeromonadaceae. The record is from RNAcentral.